CGAGCCGGGCGGACGGCCGCGUGAAACCCUCUAGGGGGCUUCCCGAGGAACGUCCGGGCUCCACAGGGCAGGGUGGUGGCUAACGGCCACCCGGGGUGACCCGCGGGACAGUGCCACAGAAAGCAAACCGCCAGGGACUCCGGUCCCUGGUAAGGGUGAAACGGUGGUGUAAGAGACCACCAGUGCCCAGGGUGACCUGGGCAGCUAGGUAAACCCCACCCGGAGCAAGGUCAAGAGGGAGCGCCCCUGGUGCUCCUGCGCGGACGACCGAGGGCUGCCCGCCCGAGUCCGCGGGUAGACCGCACGAGGCCGACGGCAACGCCGGCCCUAGAUGGAUGGCCGUCGCCCCGGCCGCCGCGAGGCAACCGGGGAACAGAACCCGGCGUACAGCCCGACUCGUCUG
RNAcentral lists this RNase P RNA (403 nucleotides) under Streptomyces achromogenes. RNAcentral describes it as "RNase P RNA component class A". It matches the Rfam family "Bacterial RNase P class A". From Rfam's summary of the family: Ribonuclease P (RNase P) is a ubiquitous endoribonuclease, found in archaea, bacteria and eukarya as well as chloroplasts and mitochondria. Its best characterised activity is the generation of mature 5'-ends of tRNAs by cleaving the 5'-leader elements of precursor-tRNAs. RNAcentral also lists the same sequence under 1 other name. Lineage: Bacteria; Bacillati; Actinomycetota; Actinomycetes; Kitasatosporales; Streptomycetaceae. The record is from RNAcentral.